Molecule: ribosomal RNA, 328 nt
Filed under: uncultured soil bacterium
Lineage: Bacteria
Description: bacterial SSU rRNA
Rfam family: Bacterial small subunit ribosomal RNA
Source: RNAcentral
AGGACGAACGCUGGCGGCGUGCUUAACACAUGCAAGUCGAACGGAAAGGCCCGCUUGCGGGUACUCGAGUGGCGAACGGGUGAGUAACACGUGGGCAACCUGCCCUCAGCUCUGGGAUAACUCCGGGAAACCGGUGCUAAUACUGGAUAUCGACUUCUGCCUCGCAUGGGGUGUUGUUAGUAAAGGUUUUUCGGCGUGGGGAUCGGGCCCGCGGCCUAUCAGCGUUUGGUUGGGUGGGGGUUGAGUCGGCCUAACCGAAGGGCGACGGACGGGUAGGCCCGGCUGGAGGACGGGCGACCGGCCGACGACGUGGACUGAGACACGGCCA